CUCCGACCCAGGUCGUCGCAGCAGCACAGGAAGCUGUAACACAGAGACACUAGGAGGAGGAAACAGAGUACAAGGAGAACGUAUCCAGGAGCAAUUCCACUUCGAAUGAUUCCUAAGUGAAUGCCUACAGGACAGUUCUCGGUGACCAUGUCCAGAACAGGCAUAAGUGACGAUCCCCAGUACUUCCCUGAGGGACCACACUGGUACCUUGGAUCAGAACCCUGCAUCAGAACAGGCCUAAAUGGCCAUGGCUAAGAACACGGCUGAGUUGUCCUUCAACAGCAAUGCCAAUGCCAAUUCACCAUGUCCGAGUGUUCACAAGGCUCCUCUCCUGGAUGUAAGCUAAUUUGUCUAUGUCUCUUCUAAAAUCUCACACCUGGGACUGCGCGAGGAAUUUCAGAUAUGGAUUGAAAAGUUCAACAGGACUCUCACCUCUCUUUUGUGUACUUUGGGCAAGUGGACCCCCUUUAAGCCUCAGGUUCCUCAGCUGUAAAAUGGGACGCUAUGAUUCACCUUAAAAGUCUCUCAAAGUUUAGAUGUUGCAUGAUUCUAUGAUUCCAUUACCCAAAGCAUGAACCACUCACUUGGCAUCAUGUAAUUUCCACAGUUGAUCACAAUUUAAUUAAUUCCUCAUUCUAAUUGUUAAUAAAAAUGUCAAAACAAAUAUACUUAAAGGAGUUCUUCUUCUUCUUUUGGGUGAGGGGAAGUGUCUCACUCUGUUGACCAUGCUGGCAUGCAGUAGUGCAAUCAUAGCUCAUGCUGCAGCCUCCACUUCCUGGGCUCAAGGGAUCCUCCUGCCUCAGCCUCCUGAGUAGCUAGGACUACAGGCAUGUGCCACCACACCUAGCUAGUUUUUUAAUUUUUUGUAGAGAUGAAGUCUUACUGUGUUG
Molecule: long non-coding RNA, 890 nt
Filed under: Homo sapiens (human)
Lineage: Eukaryota; Metazoa; Chordata; Mammalia; Primates; Hominidae
Description: HSALNT0228845
Source: RNAcentral